UACGGAGGGUGCAAGCGUUGUUCGGAAUCACUGGGCGGAAAGGGCGUGUAGGCGGUCCGCUAAGUCUGAUGUGAAAGCCCGAGGCUUACCCUCGGAAGUGCAUUGGAGACUGGCGGACUGGAGUCCCGGAGAGGAGGGUGGAAUUCCUGGUGUAGCGGUGAAAUGCGUAGAUAUCAGGAGGAACACCGGUGGCGAAGGCGGCCCUCUGGACGGUGACUGACGCUGAGACGCGAAAGCGUGGGGAGCAAACAGG
This 253-nucleotide ribosomal RNA is filed under the name uncultured bacterium. RNAcentral describes it as "partial 16S ribosomal RNA". It matches the Rfam family "Bacterial small subunit ribosomal RNA", at positions 524 to 776 of the family's 1533-position model. The record is from RNAcentral.